AUGUAUCAUCGUGGCGAAAGCCCGAUUUUACAACCACCAAAAAAGCUAGGGGUAUAAUACCCAGGAAACAAAGUACGCACCUUGCCUCGGGCCCCCUACGCCCGGGAGAGGCC
RNAcentral lists this unclassified non-coding RNA (113 nucleotides) under Riccardoella reaumuri. Its description in RNAcentral is "partial miscellaneous RNA". Lineage: Eukaryota; Metazoa; Arthropoda; Arachnida; Trombidiformes; Ereynetidae. The record is from RNAcentral.